AACGCUGGCGGCGUGCUUAACACAUGCAAGUCGAACGGAAAGGCCCUGCUUUUGUGGGGUGCUCGAGUGGCGAACGGGUGAGUAACACGUGAGUAACCUGCCCUUGACUUUGGGAUAACUUCAGGAAACUGGGGCUAAUACCGGAUAGGAGCUCCUGCUGCAUGGUGGGGGUUGGAAAGUUUCGGCGGUUGGGGAUGGACUCGCGGCUUAUCAGCUUGUUGGUGGGGUAGUGGCUUACCAAGGCUUUGACGGGUAGCCGGCCUGAGAGGGUGACCGGCCACAUUGGGACUGAGAUACGGCCCAGACUCCUACGGGAGGCAGCAGUGGGGAAUAUUGCACAAUGGGCGGAAGCCUGAUGCAGCAACGCCGCGUGCGGGAUGACGGCCUUCGGGUUGUAAACCGCUUUCGCCUGUGACGAAGCGUGAGUGAAGGUAAUGGGUAAAGAAGCACCGGCUAACUACGUGCCAGCAGCCGCGGUGAUACGUAGGGUGCGAGCGUUGUCCGGAUUUAUUGGGCGUAAAGGGCUCGUAGGUGGUUGAUCGCGUCGGAAGUGUAAUCUUGGGGCUUAACCCUGAGCGUGCUUUCGAUACGGGUUGACUUGAGGAAGGUAGGGGAGAAUGGAAUUCCUGGUGGAGCGGUGGAAUGCGCAGAUAUCAUGAGGAACACCAGUGGCGAAGGCGGUUCUCUGGGCCUUUCCUGACGCUGAGGAGCGAAAGCGUGGGGAGCGAACAGGCUUAGAUACCCUGGUAGUCCACGCUGUAAACGGUGGGGUACUAGGUGUGGGGUCCAUUCCACGGGUUCCGUGCCGUAGCUAACGCUUUAAGUACCUCGCCUGGGGAGUACGGCCGCAAGGCUAAAACUCAAAGGAAUUGACGGGGCCCCGCACAAGCGGCGGAGCAUGCGGAUUAAUUCGAUGCAACGCGUAGAACCUUACCUGGGUUUGACAUGGAUCGGGAGUGCUCAGAGAUGGGUGUGCCUCUUUUGGGGUCGGUUCACAGGUGGUGCAUGGCUGUCGUCAGCUCGUGUCGUGAGAUGUUGGGUUAAGUCCCGCAACGAGCGCAACCCUUGUUCACUGUUGCCAGCACGUUAUGGUGGGGACUCAGUGGAGACCGCCGGGGUCAACUCGGAGGAAGGUGGGGAUGACGUCAAGUCAUCAUGCCCCUUAUGUCCAGGGCUUCACGCAUGCUACAAUGGCUGGUACAGAGAGUGGCGAGCCUGUGAGGGUGAGCGAAUCUCGGAAAGCCGGUCUCAGUUCGGAUUGGGGUCUGCAACUCGACCUCAUGAAGUCGGAGUCGCUAGUAAUCGCAGAUCAGCAACGCUGCGGUGAAUACGUUCCCGGGGCUUGUACACACCGCCCGUCAAGUCAUGAAAGUUGGUAACACCCGAAGCCGGUGGCCUAACCGUUGUGGGGGAGCCGUCGAAGGUGGGA
Molecule: ribosomal RNA, 1429 nt
Filed under: uncultured organism
Description: 16S ribosomal RNA
Rfam family: Bacterial small subunit ribosomal RNA
Source: RNAcentral